Molecule: ribosomal RNA, 432 nt
Filed under: uncultured bacterium
Lineage: Bacteria
Description: partial 16S ribosomal RNA
Rfam family: Bacterial small subunit ribosomal RNA
Source: RNAcentral
AACGAACGCUGGCGGCAUGCCUAACACAUGCAAGUCGAACGAAACCUCCGGGUCUAGUGGCGCACGGGUGCGUAACGCGUGGGAACCUGCCCUUAGGUUCGGAAUAACUCCCCGAAAGGGGUGAUAAUACCGGAUAAUAUCUUCGGACCCAAGAUUUAUCGCCUUUGGGUGGGCCAGCGUUGGAUUAGCUUGUUGGUAGAGUAAAAGCCUACCAAGGCGACGAUUCAUAGCUGGACUGAGAGGAUGGUCAGCCACACUGGGAGUGGGACACGGCCCAGACUCCUACGGGUGGGAGCAGUGGGGAAUAUGGGACACUGGGCGAGAGCCUGAUCCAGCAAUGCCGCGUGAGUGAUGAAGGCGUUAGGGUUGUAAAGCUCUUUUACCCGGGAUGAUAAGAACAGUACCGGGAGAAUAAGCUCCGGCUAACUCCGU